GACGAACGCUGGCGGCGUGCUUAACACAUGCAAGUCGAACGGAAAGGCCCUGCUUUUGUGGGGUGCUCGAGUGGCGAACGGGUGAGUAACACGUGAGUAACCUGCCCUUGACUUUGGGAUAACUUCAGGAAACUGGGGCUAAUACCGGAUAGGAGCUCCUGCUGCAUGGUGGGGGUUGGAAAGUUUCGGCGGUUGGGGAUGGACUCGCGGCUUAUCAGCUUGUUGGUGGGGUAGUGGCUUACCAAGGCUUUGACGGGUAGCCGGCCUGAGAGGGUGACCGGCCACAUUGGGACUGAGAUCAGGCGCAGACUCCUACGGGAGGCAGCAGUGGGUAAUAUUGCACAAUGGGCGGAGGCCUGAUGCAGCAACGCCGCGUGCGGGAUGACGGCCUUCGGGUUGUAAACCGCUUUCGCCUGUGACGAAGCGUGAGUGACGGGAAUGGGUAAAGAAGCACCGGCUAACUACG
This 466-nucleotide ribosomal RNA is filed under the name uncultured bacterium. RNAcentral describes it as "partial 16S ribosomal RNA". It matches the Rfam family "Bacterial small subunit ribosomal RNA", at positions 28 to 505 of the family's 1533-position model. The record is from RNAcentral.